This 274-nucleotide ribosomal RNA is filed under the name uncultured bacterium. RNAcentral describes it as "partial 16S ribosomal RNA". It matches the Rfam family "Bacterial small subunit ribosomal RNA", at positions 523 to 796 of the family's 1533-position model. The record is from RNAcentral.
AUACGGAGGGAGCAAGCGUUGUUCGGAAUCACUGGGCGUAAAGCGAGUGUAGGUUGUCAGGUAAGUAGGAUGUGAAAGCCCGGGGCUCAACCCCGGAAUUGCAUUCUAAACUGCCUGGCUAGAGUCCCGGAGAGGGAGGUGGAAUUCCGAGUGUAGAGGUGAAAUUCGUAGAUAUGCGGAGGAACACCAGAGGCGAAGGCGACCUCCUGGACGGUGACUGACACUGAGACUCGAAAGCGUGGGGAGCAAACAGGAUUAGAAACCCUUGUAGUCC